UCGUGGAAUGUUUUAUCGGUCAUUAAACUAAUUAGAUUACCAGUAUUGCAGCGGUCAGCUAUAAAUUAGCGUUCCGCUCGUUUACGACCGGCUUUGAGCCUUCGACCGAGCCUGCUUGCGGUUUGAAGCUGUGUUUUUGGCAUGAAUAGCUUAUAUCAUUAGAAAGGAGAAUGACUCGAGAAUGUGUACCCACCCGUGGUGGAGGUGUGAAGGAACAAUUUCGAGAGGUGUGAAAAGUGAAGGGCCCCCCAGGUGCUCGACUGACUCUCCACUAAUCGCGGGCAGGCGGAAAACAAGCGUGAUGAGUUGCUGGUUCCCCGGGUCCCAAUUGGGAUUGCAAGAAAAA
This is a long non-coding RNA of Vespula pensylvanica (western yellowjacket), 346 nucleotides long. RefSeq lists it as uncharacterized. The record is from RefSeq and is a predicted model, not a curated record. NCBI's taxonomy places the organism in Eukaryota, Metazoa, Arthropoda, Insecta, Hymenoptera, Vespidae. The transcript is spliced from 2 exons.